GACGUUAUCCAGGAGAGUCGCGUUGGACUCAGGGAAGGCCUGCACAGGAUUCGGUUGUUGCUGGGUCCGAAGGCGGUAGGGAGUGGAGAGAGGGCCGGGAGUCGCUCAGCGGGGUCUGGGAGAACGACUUGCAGAUUCACAUCUCCUCCGCCCGCGGAUGUCCUCCGGGGAAUUGAGGCUUCCUUCCUCAGCUGCCCUUGUUUCUCUCUUUGCUCCCGCUGCCUCUUGUUGUAUUUGGUUUCUUACUAUUUAUGUAGCCUCAUUGCUUGCGGUUAUAAUGGCCACCACUUUACUGAGCAUUCACUGUACAAGCAUCUCGCAGCAGGUGCUCAUAAGCGUCUGGCAAUUCUUGGCCACUGCUGGAAGCCCAAUCGUUCUUUUACCAUGGAAGGGAUUUGAGAGCCUACGUAAUCCUGUACUCUAACAUCCACAUGGUACUCUCGGGGCUAGGGAGAUAAAGUAGAAAUUGAAAUUGCCGUUAUAUUAGUUUUCUGAAGCUGCCAUAACCAAGUACCGCACACUGGAUAGCUUGAAACAACAGAUACAUUUUCUCGCUUUCUGGAGUCUAGAAGUCGGAAAUCAAGAUGUCAGUGGGGCCUUGCUUCUUCUGAGACUCUGAAUAGAAUCCUUCCUGCCUCUUCCUAGCUAAUGGUGGGAGCCAGCAGUCAUUGGUGUUCUUUGGCCUGUAGCUGCGUUACUCCAUUCUUUUCUCUGUUAUCAAAUGGUAUACUCCCUGGGUGUCUCUGUCUCUGUGUCUUUUAUAGGGACACCAGUCCUGUUAGGUAAAAGGCUCACCUUACUCCAGUAUGACCUGAUCAUGACUAAUCACAUCUGCAAUGACACUCUUUCCAAAUAAGGUCACAUUUUGAGGUUCCAGGAAGGACAUGAAUUUUGAGGGCGACACUAACCAACCCAGUACAGCUGUUAAAGUUCUCAAGAAGUAGACAAACGAAGACUUGACAAAUGUAGUACAAGUGGAUUCAAAUUCAGUUCAGUUUUAUCUGAGUGUUCAUAGACAUUCGGGGUAUCCCUUUAAAGGAUGGGUAGGGGCCCGGCGUGGUGGCUCACGCCUGUAGUCCCAGCACUUUGGGAAGCCAAGGUGGGCGGAUCAGUUGAGGUCAGGAGUUUGAGCCCAGCUUGGCCAACAUGGCGAGACCCCACCUCUACUAAAAAUACAAAAAUUAGCCGGACGUGGUGACAGGUGCCUGCAGUCCCAGCUACUUGGGAGGCUGAGGCAGGAGAAUCGCUUGAACCUGGGAGGUUGCAGUGAGCCGAUAUCGUGCCACCGCGCUCCAGCCUGGACAGCAGAGCAAGACUUGGUCUCUAAAUAAAUAAAUAAAAAAUACAUGGUGGGUAAGAUUUGAAUGUGCCAUCAUAGACUGUCAGAGACAGCAUUCUGGGCAAAAGAAAUGUCACAGACAGGAAGCACGGGUUGAACUGUAAAAUAAAUUAGGUUAAAGCAGGAAAGAUCUUCACUGCAUGCUGAAGAGUUUGGAGCCUAUUCUUUAUAUAAAAUUAGGAGCAAAUCAGCAUGUUUCAGCAACUUAGUUGUGCUUUGAAGAUUAAUUUACCAGUUUGGGCCAAGCCUGCUUUGCAUUUCUUGCUCCAGCUUAAGAAGUCUUAAAUCGUAUCAUCUGAGCAUAACGUGCUGUUUUCAUCCUAGUGUCUCUGCUCAUCCUGUCUCCUCUGCCUGGAAUGCUGCCAUGGAGCUACGUAACAUUCACUUGUCCAUUUUUUUUUGUCCUGGAAAUUGUAUUAUAGCAUGCACACAGCAAGGAGGAGGCCAUCAGCAAACCGGGAAGAGGACCCUCACCAGGAACCACAUCUGCCAGCACCUUGAUCUUGAACUUCUCAGCCUCCAGAACUAUGGAGUCUUGCUCUGUCGCCUAGGCUGGAGUGCAGUGGCAUGAUCUCAGCUCACUGCAACCGCCGUCUCCCGAGUUCAAGCAAUUCUCUGCUUCAGCCUCCCAAGUAGCUGUGAUUACAGUUGCCUGCCACCACGCCCAGCUAAUUUUUGUAUUUUUGUGUUUUUUAUUUUAUUUUAUUUUUAUUUUUGAGAAGGAGUCUUGCUCUGUUGCCCAGGCUGGAGUGCAGUGGCGCAAUCUCAGCUCACUGCAAUCUCCGUCUCCUGGGUUCAAGCAAUUCUCUGCCUCAGCUUCCUGAGUAGCUGGGAUUACGGGCACCCGCCACCAUGCCCAGCUAAUUUUCGUAUUUUUAGUAGAGACAGGGUUUCACCAUCUUGGCCAGGCUGGUCUUAAACUCCUGACCUCAUGAUCCACCCGCCUCGGCCUCCCAAAGUGCUGGGAUUACAGGCAUGAGCCAUGGCACCCGGCCAACAUCCCUCUCUUAACAACUGACAGAAAAACUGUACAAAAAAUCAGUGAAGUCAUAGAUGAUCUGAACAUUAUCAACUACCGUGACCUAAUUGAUAUUUAUAGAAUACUAUACCCUAAUCUGCAAAAUAAACAUUUUCAAUUACAUAUGGUAUGUUCAUGAGAGUAGACCAUAUGUUACUCCAUAAAGCAAGCCUCAAUAAAUUUAAAGGGAUUUAAAUCAUUCACUGUUUGUUCUCUGACCACAACCUGGGCAUGUGGCAGGCAUCUGAGCACACUGGGGGUCAGUGGAAGGAGAAGAGCCAGUUCAGAGAGGAGGCACAAGCAGGUCUGGGUAGGACUGAACACCAGGAGGAUUGAAGAGGGGGUGAUGGGGGCACCAAUUACCCACCUGGACCCCAGCCUCAGAGCUGCUAGGAGGAAGGACUGCUGCUGUCAGACUGGCCUGGGCAGUGAUGACGAACAGGGCCCCAGGGCUUCCCUCUUGGUCUCUUUAUCUGCCUGAAGGGUGGACAGCUUGUCCUUCCUUCUCUAGCCACGGAAGAAGAACAUCUAGCAAGGUGUGAGCAUGGCCACUGCAAGGUGAGAUAAUUGGGUUGGGGGCUCAGAUUUAAGUGGGAUUGCUCUGUGCCAAGAGGGAAGGGAUAACCAAAGGCUCUGUAUGGGAAGGAAGAAGGGCUGAAGCAAGGUGUGCUAGGGAACUGCCUACUCCCUGAUGCUUUUUCCUGCUGAAGGUGGCUGGCUAGGAGCAGUGAUCCCAAAGCCCUGCCUUCCACAGAGGGACACUUUGUCCAAGGUUAAAUGGAAAGGUGAGGAGAGGAGCUGACAAUUUAGGGUUGUCACUAAAUUGGGUUGACCCCACUGGUUGGGGUCCUGCAGGGGCCCAGUUCUGGGGAAAGGCAGAGCCCUGGGCUUCAGAAAGACUGCCUGUCACCCUGACACCCAGCUGCAGGACCACCCUCAUUACUUUGCUCUGUUGAAAGCCUCAGUCAGGGUGAGGGGAGGAAGAGCUCAGGCCCCCAGCAAGAAGUCCUCAUAGGGUGGGUGGCAUGAUCA
Molecule: long non-coding RNA, 3389 nt
Organism: Symphalangus syndactylus (siamang)
Lineage: Eukaryota; Metazoa; Chordata; Mammalia; Primates; Hylobatidae
Source: RefSeq, a predicted model, not a curated record